RNAcentral lists this long non-coding RNA (537 nucleotides) under Nicotiana benthamiana. RNAcentral's name for it is "long non-coding RNA (NBEN_LNC004820)". Lineage: Eukaryota; Viridiplantae; Streptophyta; Magnoliopsida; Solanales; Solanaceae. The record is from RNAcentral.
ACAAUUCAGAAUCCUAUGUGAUUCUUCUCUUCCUUUCUGCUUCUCCUUAUUUUCUCAGUUCUUCAACUCUAUGCUCAAUUGCUCAUUCCUCCAUGACUCCGUACUUCUCUUCGUCCAGCAUUUUCCCUUGCAAUUCAGCUUCAUAUUAGUCAGCUUCAGUCCCCUUAUUUUCGUUAGGCCAUUUUGCAAUCCUUAAAACCACCACCAGAUCUUGAUUAACUAUCAAAUCCGAUUUCUUUCAUGCCUCUUCAACUUUUUCCUAUAAAAGUAUAUAAUUAUCCUUUGUUUUUAGGCAAAGCAAGAUGAAUAACAGUUCAGAAUCCUAUGUGAUUCUUCUCUUCCUUUCUUCUUCUCCUUAUUUUCUCAGUUCUUCAACUCUAUGCUCAAUUGCUCAUUCCUCCAUGAUUCUGCACUUCUCUUCGUCGAACAUUUUCCCUUGCAAUUCAGCUUCAUAUCAGUCAGCUUCAGUCCCCUUAUUUCAUGUGUUUAAGUUCAAUUAUUGUUUCCUUUGUUGAACUCUUGUUUGUUAGAGUCUUG